CAGUCGCCGCGGGAAUACGAAGGGGGCUAGCGUUGCUCGGAAUGACUGGGCGUAAAGGGCGCGUAGGCGGCUUGUACAGUCAGAUGUGAAAUUCCUGGGCUCAACCUGGGGACUGCAUUUGAUACGUACGGGCUUGAGUGGAGAAGAGGGUUGUGGAAUUUCCAGUGUAGAGGUGAAAUUCGUAGAUAUUGGAAAGAACACCGGUGGCGAAGGCGGCAACCUGGUCUUUAACUGACGCUGAGGCGCGAAAGCGUGGGGAGCAAACAGGAUUAGAUACCCCCGUAGUCCCUGUCUCUUAUAC
Molecule: ribosomal RNA, 301 nt
Filed under: uncultured bacterium
Lineage: Bacteria
Description: partial 16S ribosomal RNA
Rfam family: Bacterial small subunit ribosomal RNA
Source: RNAcentral